UUUUAUUUCAAUUUCUCUGAAAAGUUUAUAUGCUCAUGCCAAUACAACACUUACUUUUACUGUAGUAGUAACCUAUGUCACCAGAAUAAAUGCUGCAAAAAUCAAGCACAUAGAUUUGAUGCCCUACAGAGCUCUUUCAUCACUGGCUUGUCAAACUUUGCUGCUGUCCACUGCAGCUUCAUACCAAAUAAAACAUUCUACAAUAACAACAAAAAUAUGACAGCAACAAACCCCAUGGUAGUAAUCACAUAUUUUUUAUUCAAGGCCAUGCUUGUUUCUUGGUGGCUAAUACAUAUCUGAUAUCUGCUUUUUUUCAAUGUUCAAAAAAUAAUUAGAGACAGAGUUACUGGGGUAACUCUGGGGGCUGGGGGAAUGGAAGCCCCACUACUUCUGUGCCUCACAAGCACAAAUCCCAGCUCAUCCUUUCCCUGUAGCAGGUCUGCUCAAUCCUCUUCCCAAGUGGCCCCAACAAUGAAUCUAAGCUUACUUCAGAUAGAGAGGGUCUCCUAAAGAAGCUGCUUCCCUUAUAUCUAAGGGGCCUCCUUGUUUAUUUGAAACCAAAAUGUACAGUCCUUUCUCAUUAGCAGUUAUCCUAAAUCUCCUAGGAGGCACAAUAUGCAUCAUUUCUAUAAAGAAACUAUUGUGUCAGACCACAGGUCUGAUAUGCAGCCUCCCCCAAGUGACAGUGGUUUGGAGAAACUCAUCCACGUAAUUUGUGAUGAGGUUGCUGAAGGUAGUAAGCAUAUGAAGAAAUAAUGAGCAAAAAUAAAACCUAUUUUCUUAUUACUAUCAUCUGACUAAUCCUUUAGAGUGUGGGUCACUGACCAGCUCAUGGGACAUAUGGGAGACAGCAUAAGGCAGGGAGGACGCUCAUUAAACUGGAUAGUUUCAUGGUAAUACUAGAACUUAAAACUUGAUUAAAAUAGAAAAUCCAUAUGUGAUUUCACUGAUAAUCUGUUUUUUAAAAGUAUAAUUUCCUUAAGAUAGGUUUAUACAGGCACAACUCAAACAGGCAAAUAAAUUUAUGCAAAUCAUACUAUGUUUGAGAUAUAAAACUAGAAUAUUUAGUUUUAUAAAAGCAAAACUGUCUUCUGCAAAGAUUUUUAUCUGUGCACCUCGGCUGCACAGCACAAAGAGCUGAAAUCAGAGCCACCAUGUGCCCCAGUACAGACACAUCCAGCUCUGGCAGCUGCCCACAGGGGACUGCAAACUACCUGGAAAGGACAGGGGUGGCUUCUGCCACUCACCACUCUGUACCUGCACUGUCUCCUGAGCACACGCACUCUCUGUCCCUGGGCAGGCUGCAACACCUCACUGGAUAUAAACUUGUGCAGCAUCUGAAAAGUGUUGGGAGGCUUAAUUGCCCAUGAGGUGGUUGAGAAGUGAUGCAGCAAUGCAGUGAGGUUACUAGACUAGACAAUUAUAUUUGCUGUUUUAUUUAUUCUUACAGAAAGAAGCAAGAGAGGAAAGACAGAUACCAAUCUUGCUGGCCACUAACUGCACAAAAAUAGAGCAGCAUUAAAAACCUUUCUUGUAUCAGAAUCCAUGAGGCUUCUUAUCAACAUUCAUUGGCUGACAUGCAGAUCACUGUAUUGACAGAAAUACAUGACUGGACUAUGUAAUAAUUGUUUUGCUGGGACAAAUCUGAUAUUAUAUUGCAAUCAGAACUGUAUGUCUUCUAAGAGACUUAAAGCUGGUUAUUUGUAUUGACAGCUAUAUAACCUUUGACUGCAGUCUUGGUAAUUCACCUGCUCUUUGCCCAGGGGGAAAUCCUGACCCGCCAGAGUGGUCUCCAUCCUGCUGGACUCAUUGGUCUUCCCUCUUCCCAUUGCACCUCUCCCUGUCUGCAAAUUCUACUGCAGAGCCUGGCAAAGACCUGUAAAAGAGAAGUGCUGUCCCUACAACUGCACCUUUCCCAGCUGAGACCUGCAUGGCAAACCCUGAUGGAUCUGCUGCCAUGCCUCUGGGUCCUGCUUCAGUAAUGCCCUGGAGCCUGCUCUGUUUGUUGUUUCAGAGAUUUCAUGUUAGGAGGGGAGGAGGAGGAGGAGGAAGAGGAUGCCCUCCUUAUGCAGUCACACAGCCUGGGGCAACAUCCUCUGUAAACAUCCUCCUAUCAGGAGCUCAAGGUCAUCCGGCCGUUUUUCUCAGAGACUCCAUGCCAUGUCCAGGCUGCUGCAGCAACAGUCUUGUGGUCAUUUUUUCCCACUGAAUUUGUCCAGCUCAGAGCUUUCUCGUGAAACACUGGCACUUUCCUGUGCACUUGUCCACAAAACAACCUCUUUUCAAGGAAAACAGAUGUCCACAAUAGUUUGUUUUACACACUUAUUAUUGGAAGGUUUUCCUAAGCAAGGAGGAUUUAGCCUUGACAAAGUCACCCUUGAGAGGUGACUUUAUAUAUAUAUAUAUAUAAAGUGUAUAUAUAUCUAUUACAUCCAAUAAUAUAUGUAUGCUUUUAUUUCUAAGAGGAAUUGUUUCUCAGACAAUAACAUGACCCAGAACCUUUGCCAAAGAUGAAGUUGUAUGAUUUCACAGACACCUCACUGAGGCAGAAAGAACAUGAUUUCCAAUUUCAGGUGCAAAGCGAGAUUCAAAGAUCCCCAAAAUUCAGAGAGGUUCAGUCCUGGUGUUGGGUUUUCACCCAUCACCACACCUCUAUAAUCUUUGCACCAUUUAGCACAUCUCAGGCUUGUUGUGGCAGCCCAAAGGAGCCAUGGUGAAGUCACUCACUGUCUGCACCUGGAUUCCCUUAGCAAUACUUCAUCCAGCUCUGGGAUGAAGACGAAAGGAUGAGAAGAAAGUGGAACAAAGAAUCAAGUAGCAGAAGAGCAUGGCAGGUACUAAAUGGAAUAGGAAAAUGGAGACUACAGAAAAAUGAGGGAAUUAAGUUUGGAAAUUUUAGUUUUACAAGAAAAGGAGAGAAAAGGAAAUUACAUGAAAAGGAAAAAAAUGAGGAAAUCAUGAAGAAGGGAAAGAAUUAAUACAGGAAAGGGCAGAGAAUAAGUUGGGAAAAUAGACUGUUAAUAUACUUUAAUUCUAUUUUACUACACUUCCUCCAGUGAAGAUGGGAGCACAACUUUGCUUUCAGAGAGAUAGUCAGUGCCUCCUCUUGGAAAGGGAGGAGCUCACUGGCACUUUUAUUUUUCCUGUUAUGCCUUCUGAGAGCAGGGUUUACAAUCACUAGGGAGGCUGAAGCAGGAAGCUGCAGACUUCCAGGCAGCAGGGAGGAGCUCUGCCUCGCAGGCAGACCCUGGGGACCUGUUCAAGGCCAAAGGUGACUUUCCCUCUCACCCAAAACCAGUCGGAGGGGAGUCGGCACAGGGGUGAUGCUGUGCUCCCAAAGCCAGAGGCAGCUGGGGCUCUCCAGGCUGCUAAGGCUGCGUGUGGCCAGAUUUUCUGCUGAGCAGGAGCUGCACAUACGGGAAAUGCCACAGGGCUUUUCACUUCUGUGAGCCUCCUGUCAGCUCACUCUCCAACUGUUGGAGCUGUAGACAGAGACUCUCAGACAGAGCUCAGCUUCUGCUCUUUUUAGGUGCUGUAAAGAGGCCAAAACACUUGAACCUCUGGUGCAAUAACUUUCCCUGUGGUUAUACAUUGAUGUCAUAAAUAUCAUGUUAUAACACCAAUGGAAGCUGAUGAAAAGGAGAAGCAGGGCAGGGAGGAAGGAACCCUAAAAUGAUGACAUUUAUCUCAAUGAGAAACUGCAUCCAGAAAGAACAGCCAGGAAAUCCAUUUGGUAGAGGGGAGUUCUCUUCAGGCUCAUGCAGACUGUUCCCCUUUCAGCACAUCUCUGCAGUGCAAGGGCAAAUCAAGGCAACGGCAAAUUACAAUAAUCUAACGUGGCUGCAGAACUCACACAGGCUUUUUAAUUUUUUCUUUCUAACCAUAAUGACUGAACGGCCUGAAGGAGGUUUCUUUAUCCUACAACCUGGAAUUUGGAGCAACUGCAGCUCAUGUAGCACUGACAGAAUCUACAGAGCAGAUGAAUUUGCUUCCCUCUGGCUACAUGCUUAUUCUAGGUAAUUCCAAAGGGCAGAUUUAAAAAAUGUUCGUCUCUUACAUGAACAUGAUAAAAAGCUCCUGAUAAAAACCCAUUCAGUUGCACAGAGACCCAGAAAGCAGGUCACCAUUCCCAUGGUUCAGACUAGACCCAAAGUGGUAGCCUUUAAGAACAGAUAUGUCCACUACAAACAAACAGAAAUGUCUAAAUUCCUUUAGUGUAGUCUGGAGUCAGCCAAAAGAUGGUGGAAUCAAACCUCUGUGAAGCUGGUGGGGAGGAACCACUUGAGUCCAAGACAUGAAGUUUUCCUAAGAGAACAGACAAAAUGUGAGGUCCGAAGGAGUGCCUACAGCAUCAGGUGACACUGACAGGCACUGCUGAAAGGAGGCCCCUUCUUCUCCAUUUGGCAGGAAUGGGGGAUCACAGUGCUGUGAACCAUCCUGAUUGACUCAGGUUUCCCAAGUGGCUUUUGAAGUGGCCAAAGUGGCCAAAGUGGCCUGUUGCUAUCACUGCUGACUCAAAAAAGGUCUGUCAGAGCUAGAUGGCAGCUUUGGCUGCACUGCCAUUGAUACCUCCAUGCAAAUUACCACUUAGUCUUCUGCAAUUAUUUCAUUAAUUCAGGGGCAAAGUAGUUCCAUUGAGAAAAAUGAAAUUGCCGCAGGAAUUCAUGACUAAGGAGAAACAUAAAUCUCUCCCAGCAAGAGCUUGAACUGCUAAUGUCCUCACUCAUCCAGCAGCCUCCAGCCACAAGCAGACAUCUGGCAGUGGUUCUGUCCUUCCCCCAGGAGCUGGCUCCUCAUCUCCCAUCGUGAGGACGAGGAGGUGCCCUGGCUUGGGGCAUCUCUUGUGCAGGGCAGGCUGCUGCAGCUGGGGCUGCAUGGCAGCGACCAGACUGCCCCGGCACAGCUGUGAAUCCCGGCCAGCAACGGCAGGAAAGGAUUUCAGUUCAGGCUUCCCAUAAUUCUGUUCUUCCCACUAGUAAUUAAAGUGACAUUUUCCUUGCCAUCUGUAGGAUUUUUUGAUGAUGCAAUUGAGUGAUCUGUCAACAGCCCUGUUUCCAGUAGAAAACAGAGCAAAAAGACUGCCUGCUUCCCUGAGCAGAACCAGAAGAAAUUAAAAAUGUCAACUCUUGCAAAAAUGGGGCUGUUUGCCCUUGCAAGCUCUUGCACAUGAAUAAUUCUGAAGGAAAAUAAUAUCCUCUAAUAUUAAAUCUUCUCAAGAAUAAAAAUCAUCCAAACAUUUCACACAGGAAAUAUGACCUUGAAUUAACUAACCCCAUAUUAAUUAGAGUAGUAAAAAAUCCAUUUUAACAAAAUUUAUUUGCUCCACAAGGAUUUUUUAAAAAGAAUAUGAAAUUGUAGUGUUUUUUAAUUCACCAGCACUGCAAAAACUAUUUUCUUUUACAUUUAUCUCCUUCUUUGCCUUUCUUUUUUUUAAUAGAGUGACUGGUUUUUGUAGUGCUUAUCUGUUGGAAAUUGUUAAUACCUCUCAGGUUUCAACAACCUGUCAAAACCGAGCAGUAUGAUAAACAUUUAUGUAAUAUUCAUCUUUCGGGAAAUAAUUGAAAUAGUACAUAUCAGAUUAGUUGAAAAAGGCUGUAGUUUUGAUAUCAUACAAAGAUAUCCUUUCUGAGUAAAAUAAAUAUAUGAAGGCAGACAGAAGAGGCAAACAAAAUAAUGAAAAGUCUCUACUUGGAAAUGGGCAAUGAUCCUAAAAACCAGAUUGAGUCUAUGUUUAUUUUAUAAGAGUGCAAAAGAGGGAGAAAGAAGUACUUUGAAAGCAUUUGUAUAGUUUUCUGAAUAAUUUAAGACUUAAGAGAAUAUAAUAUAGUAUCAACUUUAGUAGCUAAUUGCUUUGAAUACCCUAACAGAGAA
Molecule: long non-coding RNA, 5871 nt
Organism: Taeniopygia guttata (zebra finch)
Lineage: Eukaryota; Metazoa; Chordata; Aves; Passeriformes; Estrildidae
Source: Ensembl